RNAcentral lists this long non-coding RNA (635 nucleotides) under Equus asinus (donkey). RNAcentral describes it as "lncRNA (ENSEASG00005038776.1)". The record is from RNAcentral. Lineage: Eukaryota; Metazoa; Chordata; Mammalia; Perissodactyla; Equidae.
AAAACAAAAAUUUAAUCAAAAUCAAAUCUCCAAUUGAGCCUAAUGGUCUUCUAGUGUUGCCAAGUGCUAAGGGUCUAGGUACGUGUCUACUCACCGUUCCCAAAACUCAUUCUCCUCUUUGCUGUUUUGAUUCUCCUUUCCUUCCUAUUCGCUAGCUGAGGAAGAUUUCAUGUCUCAUCUCUAAGGGUUUCAGAGCACUGAUCUUCCCUCCUCCCUUCCCCAUACUUCUGGGUACAUCAGACCAAACUGUCCCAAAUCUCCUCCAGAGGGAAUAUCUACUGAGAAAUCCUCAUGAGGCCUCUCUCUCGAGUUCCUUUACAGACUCCAGGAAGAACACAGAAUAUCUCAGUGUCUUCUCUGCUGGGAGCCAACUCCCUCACCCCCAGAGAGGUCUUCACCAACAGAUCAAUAAAGGAAACGCGUCAGCUGGGUGACCGUGGUUGGGAAAAAGAGGGGUGAACAAGCUCAGCACGGUCUGUGGAGGUGUCGGCCUUGCUCCCCACGGCCUUCUCUGUUUCAGACUUGACAAAAUGUCUUUCUUCUCAUCAUGGAUGAAAGCUAUUUUCGUGCUAGCCUUGCUAUUUCCUCUUCAUUCUGAAUCUGGGCUUUCCCGGAAGCGAAAACCUAUACCAGAA